RNAcentral lists this ribosomal RNA (575 nucleotides) under uncultured bacterium. RNAcentral's name for it is "bacterial SSU rRNA". It matches the Rfam family "Bacterial small subunit ribosomal RNA", at positions 240 to 807 of the family's 1533-position model. The record is from RNAcentral.
AUUAGCUAGUUGGUAGUGUAAUGGACUACCAAGGCGAUGAUACAUAGCCGACCUGAGAGGGUGAUCGGCCACAUUGGGACUGAGACACGGCCCAAACUCCUACGGGAGGCAGCAGUAGGGAAUCUUCGGCAAUGGACGAAAGUCUGACCGAGCAACGCCGCGUGAGUGAAGAAGGUUUUCGGAUCGUAAAACUCUGUUGUUAGAGAAGAAUGUUGAUUAGAGUGGAAAAUUAAUCAAGUGACGGUAUCUAACCAGAAAGGGACGGCUAACUACGUGCCAGCAGCCGCGGUAAUACGUAGGUCCCGAGCGUUGUCCGGAUUUAUUGGGCGUAAAGCGAGCGCAGGUGGUUUAAUAAGUCUGAUGUAAAAGGCAGUGGCUCAACCAUUGUGUGCAUUGGAAACUGUUAGACUUGAGUGCAGUAGAGGAGAGUGGAAUUCCAUGUGUAGCGGUGAAAUGCGUAGAUAUAUGGAGGAACACCGGUGGCGAAAGCGGCUCUCUGGACUGUCACUGACACUGAGGCUCGAAAGCGUGGGUAGCAAACAGGAUUAGAUACCCUGGUAGUCCACGCCGUAAAC